Molecule: ribosomal RNA, 482 nt
Filed under: uncultured bacterium
Lineage: Bacteria
Description: partial 16S ribosomal RNA
Rfam family: Bacterial small subunit ribosomal RNA
Source: RNAcentral
GACGAACGCUGGCGGCGUGCUUAACACAUGCAAGUCGAACGAUGAAGAAGAGAAACGCGAACUUCGGUUCAAAUUUCACUUCGGAUUAGUGGCAGACGGGUGAGUAACGCGUGAGCAACCUACCUCUUACAAAGGGAUAGCCUCGGGAAACCGUGAUUAAUACCAUAUGACACAUUCAUAAGGCAUCUUAAGAAUGUUAAAGCUACGGCGGUAAGAGAUGGGCUCGCGUCCCAUUAGCUGGUUGGUGAGGUAACGGCCCACCAAGGCGACGAUGGGUAACCGGCCUGAGAGGGUGAACGGUCACAUUGGAACUGAGACACGGUCCAAACUCCUACGGGAGGCAGCAGUGGGGAAUAUUGCACAAUGGAGGGAACUCUGAUGCAGCGACGCCGCGUGAGCGAUGAAGGAAUUCGUUUCGUAAAGCUCUGUUCUAUGGGAAGAAAAGGACUGUACCAUAGGAGAAAGCCCCGGCUAAAUACGUG